This 433-nucleotide ribosomal RNA is filed under the name uncultured bacterium. RNAcentral describes it as "partial 16S ribosomal RNA". It matches the Rfam family "Bacterial small subunit ribosomal RNA", at positions 29 to 507 of the family's 1533-position model. The record is from RNAcentral.
AACGAACGCUGGCGGCAUGCCUAACACAUGCAAGUCGAACGAGACCUUCGGGUCUAGUGGCGCACGGGUGCGUAACGCGUGGGAGCCUGCCCUUAGGUUCGGAAUAACUCCCCGAAAGGGGUGCUAAUACCGGAUAAUGUCUUCGGACCAAAGAUUUAUCGCCUUUGGAUGGGCCCGCGUUGGAUUAGCUAGUUGGUAGGGUAAAAGCCUACCAAGGCGACGAUCCAUAGCUGGUCUGAGAGGAUGAUCAGCCACACUGGGACUGAGACACGGCCCAGACUCCUACGGGAGGCAGCAGUGGGGAAUAUUGGACAAUGGGCGAAAGCCUGAUCCAGCAAUGCCGCGUGAGUGAUGAAGGCCUUAGGGUUGUAAAGCUCUUUUACCCGGGACGAUAAUGACAGUACCGGGAGAAUAAGCUCCGGCUAACUCCGUG